Molecule: long non-coding RNA, 4620 nt
Filed under: Canis lupus familiaris (dog)
Lineage: Eukaryota; Metazoa; Chordata; Mammalia; Carnivora; Canidae
Description: lncRNA (ENSCAFG00845018505.1)
Source: RNAcentral
UUUUGGGGUCUCAUCCUUCCAAUACCAGCUCAGCGAGUUGGGUUGCCUAGUGUGGGAAAUAGUCCCUUCACUCCUCAAAAGAGAACUACACAUUUUGGGGAUCCUUCCCAGUUGUGGGGUAGCUACGUCAGCAGUGGGGUCCAGAGCAAGGUCAUGUCUUUGCCUCUUUUAUUCUUCUUAGUGCAUCUCUUGUCUUUUGUUGUGAAUAUAUUGAAUUGUUGUAAAUACAUUGUUCAUCUAAUUCUCUAGUUCCUCCUUUUCAGAGGAAAGGUAUACUAUAAUUUUCCUUACAAGCUGUUAAGUUUGUUGUGUUCCUGAGAAGAGGUAAGUUCAGGGUUAUCCUACACCACCAUCUUGGAUCCCUUCCUCCCUAAUUUUACUGGUCCUCUUUUUUAUCCAAAACCUGGUGAUCCUAAUGAAAAAGCACAACAAUAAUGGCUGUAAUAAUUCAGUUAUCAAAGGCAGCCUUCAAAUGCCAGUUAGUUUGCAGUGCUGAUCAUGAGUUCUUAAAUAGAGAUACAUUUGGUUAACAAGGUUGAAACAUAAAAGCAACCCCUUAUCAUUUAAAUUCAUCAAAUUUAGUGUCAAAAAACAAUAAUAUUUGCCUAGCCUGUGUUUUUCCUCUAUACCACCUUAAGUUUUCCAUCAGCCAUGUAAGGGAGGUACAUGAGAAAUCUAGAUGCCCCACUGAUCCUUAAAAUUCAGAAUAGCUAAAAGAAAAGGACUGAUCUCCCCCACUCAUCCCAAUAAUCAGUAAUAAACCUAAAUGAAAACAAUUAGUAACAAUAAAUUAUCUAUUAAAGUCCAUGUUAAUAAUUAAGCAUUUCUGUAUCUAAUGGACAAAAAUAUCUGGAUAUUGGGGUAAAUUUAAGCUGAAUAAAUAUACUUUUUAAAAAUGCUUUCCAUGUAAAACAAAAACCUAUUUUUCUAGACUAAAAUAUAUAACUAUGUAAAAUAAAAAUUAUUCCUAGCUAUUUAUUCCAUGUUGUUUAGCAGCCACAAUUACGCUUUUCAACAUUGUAUGUAAGAAAGGUUUUUAAGCUUUUCAAGUGGAAUAAGCCCAGAGACUCCUGGGAAUGUAAUUAUCUGGUUUGUUUUGAAUCAGACUGUGUACAGUUAGUCUAGUGUUUUAAUAAGGUCUCUAAGGAUUAGAAUCAGUCAACAUAUGAAUUAUGAAACUUCUAGUCAAUCUGAAGUACAGAAAAAAAGGCUAAAUCAUGUAGGAAAUUGGGUGUCCCUACAGGACUGUGAUAUGUUAGUUACAAGUGAGUAUAGGUUUGAAAACUAGGAAAUGUAAAAUUCAAUCAGGAAAGGUCACUGAAGGGAAAAAAGUAUCAUAUACUUCUCAACUUGUAAACUUCCCCAACAGAAGCAGAUAGGUAUUUAUCUACUAUAGCUAACAAAGUGGAAAGAAGUGUUAUUGCAGUUUUGACAAACCCAGGUAACUUUAAAAUGUGAUCUCUAAGUUUAUCUAAUUUAAAAAGAAAAUUAUCACCAUUCUCUGCCUAAGAAAUUGGCCAUAUAUAUUUUAGUGAAUUUUUUUUCCAUCAUUUGCAACUUUUGGUAUUUCACAUUUUAAAUUGAUUAUAAUCAAUGUAUUUAUUUCUAGAUGACUUUUUUCUAAUCAAACUCUGAAAAUGUUUUUAUUAAAAAAAAAAAAAACCCAGUUGGACAGAAGUCCACAGACCCAAAAUAAAGGAAAAAAAGAAGAAAGUCAAGGAAAUAAUGUAUUUUGAUGGAGCAAACAAAUCCAAAUUUGAGACAAUAGAAAAGUUCUCAAAAGAAUUUAACCCCACUGUUGAUUCAGAGAUAGCUUACUGAUAGAAUUAAUCUAUCUCCCUGGAAACUGUACUAGAGAAAUCUACCUAUAAAAAGGCCAAAGUGAUUUUGAGAAUCCUUGAUAAAGCAACACUGUGGUAUAGUUUUAACUAGUGCUAUGUCAACAGCAUGUAGUUUAGGGAAAGGUCUUUAAUUAGCUGAUAAGUAAAUCGCUUCUGAUAAAUUCAUUUUAAAAUCUAGCUCCAUCCGACUAUCUUUCCUAUAGUUCUUACCUAUUAGUCUUCCCCUAUUAAUUUCCCUUCUGAGAUGAGAAUGUGAUGACUGGUUCAUGAACAUCAUUGUUUGGCAACCAUGUUUCUGAUCGUGAUUUAUGAAACCUAUUUUCUAUUAUAAUCAGUUCCAUGUGAGCUUGGAUGAGUCCAGAAACUACAUUAUCUCUGUCAAGACUCUGGGCUAUCCGAGUGGGAGACCAGGCCCUGGAACAGAAGUAGCCACACAGCCUGGCUUCCAUUCUACAGGGAUCCAAAUGGGAGUGUCUAUCUCAAACAACAGUGCUGGGGUCAUAAUCUGCACUGUAUCUGUAAGCGGAUUCAGGGCCCAAUUCCCAUUAGAACUAACCACAGAUAUUUCUACUACCAUAUUAAUUUAUGUAAAUUAUACAAAAUGUCUGAAAACACAGCAGCCAAGCUAAUGGCUCCAAAAAGUAUCCUAGGGGCGCUUGGCUGGCUCAGUCAGUAGAGCAUGCAACUCUUGAUCUCAGGGUUUUAAGUUCAAGUGCACAUUGGGUAUAGAGAUUACUUGAAAAUAAAAAAAAAUAUGGGCAUGUGGGUGGUUCUACUGGCUGUGUCUGACUCUUGAUCUCAGCACAGGUCUUGAUCUCAGGGCUGUGAGUUCAAGACCUGCGUCUGGGCUCCACCUUGGGCAUGGAGCUUACUUAAAAAAUAAAUAAAAUUAAACUAAAUUAAUAAGAGGUAUUCUAAAAGCCCAAAAUACAAAUUGCCUGAACUUGAGUAUGGUUCAAUUAGGUGAGCAGAAGGGCUCUUGAAGGAGAUCUAGCACUCUAAGUGUGAACAGCCUUUGUGUGAUUAUAUUGUGUUAGGUUUAAAGUCCAAAUACUUUAAGUGGAGGUGGGGAGAGGAUAUUGUAUCAUUUUCUGACUCAGGUAUUUUGAGUACCACAAUUUUAUUUUAUAUUCUAUCACAUUAUCUUAACAAGUCUUUUCAUUGAAUGGAAAAAUAAUUUGUCUAUACUCAGCUUUAACAGUAAAAACGUGAACUUUGGAGAAUAUGAAAUACAGAGAGAAAUCAAGUUUAUUAUAUAAACAAAGGGUAUGCAAAUAAUAUUCAUUUUGCCACCGGGAGUGUAAUAAUGGAAAAAGUAAUCAUUGAUUAUUUAUUAGAUUAAAUGACAGUUUAGGCAGGAAUUUUUUGUAGUUUACCCAAAAUUAAAGAAUAUAUUAAGGGGAUGCCUGGGUGGUGGAGUUGGUUUAAUGUCCGACUCUUGGUUUCCACUUGAGUUGUGUUCUCAGGGUCAUGGAAUCAAGACCAGAAUUAGGCUCCAGGUUCAGCAUGGGGUCUGCUUGGGAUUGUCUCUCCCUCUCUCUAUGCCCCUCCCUCCCCUCUAAAAUAAGUAAAAAAAAAAAAAAAAAAAAAAAAAAAAGCAUCAAGGACAUUUUUAGAUUUAUUAUCUUUAAUGAACUAUGUUUAACAUUUUACAAAUCUUCAGAUUGUUACAGUUUUCAGCAGUAAAUAUAGUAAUAAUGGCAAUAAAUACAGUGAAAUGUGAGAUUCCUCUGUUGAAAUACAAAAGAUAGAAAUACUUAAAAACAAGAGGGCAAUACGUCAACUUAGGGUCUGAGAUGGAAAUCAGCAUGGUCAAAUUCUUUACGGUGCCAAUACAUGGGUGAACGCAGGACUCAUUCCCUACAAGUGAAUACGAACUUUGAGCUUCACCUUUGUGGGAAGUUUUGAGGGACAGUAUUUGACCCACGGAUUCCUAAAACUCUGUAUGUAUUGAUAUCAGAGGAUCCAAACACAGAAAGUGAUCUGAAAAUGAUUGCCAAAGCAAAGAAGUGCUUUUAUUCCUCAACAUUUGUGACCUUCGUGGUAUACUGCAUAUUAUAAAAGGGCGUAAACCCUAUACAACUGCAUAAAUGCCAUAAAAAUUGAUUUUAUAAAGUCUCAAGAUCAUAAUAUGUAUUCAAAAAUACAUAUAGCUGUGCUUUAGUAAACGAAUCCAUCAGUUAAUUGAGGGAUAAUUUUGCUUUUAAGAUAUAUCCAAAGUAUAUACAAAGGAUCCACAAAUGUUAACAAUUUGUGAUCAAAAUUCCCAAGAGUUACAUUUGCAAAAAACUGUUGGUUUUCCAUUUAAAAAUUUAAGAAAGUUGUGAAUACCGUCGGCUUAUUAUUACUUGGGUUAAGAAAAAGUAGAUGGCUUCAGCUUUUUAACAGGAAAUUUGUGAACUACUCACAAACGAGAAGUUACACAUUUUUGAUCAUUAAAAAAGGUAAAUUGCCGAUACUUCCCCAUUGAGAACAGAAUGUGCAGCGUAUAAAAGAAAGUAAGAUUUUCUCCUGAAACCAAAAAAAUUUCUAGCAAAGACCCUGGGGAUACAUCUUCUCGUUUCCUUUAUAGGAGAAUGAGUACGUGGCAUAGUUGAACGGUAUACCCUUCUAUCGUGUGUAUUCCAUUACCGAGCUAAAAGGUGGAACAGUUUUAUUUAAAGGUGGGGAAAAUAUAAACUUAAUAUAUCGAAGUACAACAUUUUACUCUAUAGUUUCUAGCUUCAUUCCACCAUAAUUCAUCAAUAUAAACUGGAUCCAAAAAAAAAAAAAAAAAAAA